RNAcentral lists this ribosomal RNA (1014 nucleotides) under uncultured Ureaplasma sp. RNAcentral's name for it is "bacterial SSU rRNA". It matches the Rfam family "Bacterial small subunit ribosomal RNA", at positions 12 to 1023 of the family's 1533-position model. Lineage: Bacteria; Bacillati; Mycoplasmatota; Mycoplasmoidales; Mycoplasmoidaceae. The record is from RNAcentral.
UUUGAUCAUGGCUCAGGAUUAACGCUGGCGGCAUGCUAAAUACAUGCAAAUCGAACGAAGCCUUUUUGGCUUAGUGGUGAACGGGUGAGUAACACGUAUCCAAUCUACCCUUAAGUUUGGGAUAACUAGUCGAAAGAUUAGCUAAUACCGGAUAAUAACAUUCACUUGCAUGAGUGAAUGUGGAAAGUUGCGUUUGCAACGCUUUUGGAUGAGGGUGCGACGUAUCAGAUAGUUGGUGAGGUAACGGCUCACCAAGUCAUUGACGCGUAGCUGUACUGAGAGGUAGAACAGCCACAAUGGGACUGAGACACGGCCCAUACUUCUACGGGAGGCAGCAGUAGGGAAUUUUUCACAAUGGGCGAAAGCCUUAUGAAGCAAUGCCGCGUGAACGAUGAAGGUCUAUAAGAUUGUAAAGUUCUUUUAUUUGGGAAGAACCACUAAAAUAGGAAAUGAUUUUAGUUUGACUGUACCAUUUGAAUAAGUAUCGGCUAACUAUGUGCCAGCAGCCGCGGUAAUACAUAGGAUGCAAGCGUUAUCCGGAUUUACUGGGCGUAAAACGAGCGCAGGCGGAUUUGUAAGUUUGGUAUGAAAUCUAGAUGCUUAACGUCUAGCUGUAUCAAAAACUACGAAUCUAGAGUGUAGCAGAGAGUUGGGGAACUCCAUGUGGAGCGGUAAAAUGCGUAGAUAUAUGGAAGAACACCGGUGGCGAAGGCGCCAACUUGGACUAUUACUGACGCUUAGGCUCGAAAGUGUGGGGAGCAAAUAGGAUUAGAUACCCUAGUAGUCCACACCGUAAACGAUCAUCAUUAAAUGUCGGCUCGCUUAUGAGUCGGUGUUGUAGCUAACGCAUUAAAUGAUGUGCCUGGGUAGUACAUUCGCAAGAAUGAAACUCAAACGGAAUGAGCGGGGACCCGCACAAGUGGUGGAGCAUGUUGCUUAAUUUGACAAUACACGUAGAACCUUACCUAGGUUGACAUCUAUUGCAAUGCUAUAGAAAUAUAGCGGAGGUUAACA